This is a ribosomal RNA of 454 nucleotides. It matches the Rfam family "Bacterial small subunit ribosomal RNA", at positions 341 to 792 of the family's 1533-position model.
ACGGAAGGCAGCAGUGAGGAAUAUUGGUCAAUGGACGGAAGUCUGAACCAGCCAUGCCGCGUGCAGGAAUAAGGCCCUAUGGGUCGUAAACUGCUUUUGUGGUGGAGCAAUAAGGCGUACGUGUACGUCGAUGAGAGUACAUCACGAAUAAGCAUCGGCUAACUCCGUGCCAGCAGCCGCGGUAAUACGGAGGAUGCAAGCGUUAUCCGGAUUUACUGGGUGUAAAGGGCGCGUAGGCGGGGAUGCAAGUCAGGUGUGAAAUCUAUGGGCUUAACCCAUAAACUGCAUUUGAAACUGUAUCUCUUGAGUGUCGGAGAGGUAGAUGGAAUUCCUAGUGUAGCGGUGAAAUGCGUAGAUAUUAGGAGGAACACCAGUGGCGAAGGCGAUCUACUGGACGAUAACUGACGCUGAGGCGCGAAAGCGUGGGGAGCAAACAGGAUUAGAUACCCUGGUA